AUUACCUACGGGGGGCAGCAGUGGGGGAUAUUGCACAAUGGGGGAAACCCUGAUGCAGCAACGCCGCGUGAGUGAAGAAGGUCUUCGGAUUGUAAAGCUCUGUUCUUGGUGAAGAUAAUGACGGUAGCCAAGGAGAAAGCUCCGGCUAACUACGUGCCAGCAGCCGCGGUAAUACGUAGGUGGCGAGCGUUGUCCGGAAUUACUGGGUGUAAAGGGAGUGUAGGCGGGAAAGCAAGUCAGAAGUGAAAACUAUGGGCUUAACCCAUAGCCUGCUUUUGAAACUGUUUUUCUUGAGUGAAGGAGAG
This 305-nucleotide ribosomal RNA is filed under the name uncultured bacterium. RNAcentral describes it as "bacterial SSU rRNA". It matches the Rfam family "Bacterial small subunit ribosomal RNA", at positions 334 to 656 of the family's 1533-position model. The record is from RNAcentral.